Long non-coding RNA from Myotis daubentonii (Daubenton's bat), 2076 nucleotides. RefSeq lists it as uncharacterized. The record is from RefSeq and is a predicted model, not a curated record. Lineage: Eukaryota; Metazoa; Chordata; Mammalia; Chiroptera; Vespertilionidae.
CAGGAGCAAAGGCGGCGCGCUGAUUGGCCGCCGCGGCCGGGGGCCGGACAAGUUCUGGGCCUUCGCCGACCGCCCCCGCCCCCCCGGCGCGGCACUUUCAGUUUUGCCUCCCCCUUCGGCCCUGACCGCGGCGGGCACCCCGGAGGCCGGCCUUCGCCGCGCCGCCCGCACCUCCACCCGGGCCCUGGCCACUCUCCGGCUGCCCGCGCCCUGGGCUCAGCCGACCUGGCUUUGUCAGCUCCUUAACGUGGAGAUCAGGCCCACCGGGCGGCGGCAUCUCUCCCGGGGCGCAGGGGCACCGGUGGCGAGUCUGACCCUCGAUGCGCGCCCAGGAGAUUUCCAGCCUGAAAGAAAAGAGAUGCAUGGAUGAAGUGAAGAAAGUUAAGACCAUGGGGUUCUGAAUUUGUUAAAAGAUCAGUAUGAACUCAUGGUAUGUUCUCUCUUAAACAAUGUAUUUCCUGGCCCCGACCACCGAAAAGACCAGAAACGUUGAGCCACCCAGUGACAGUCAGCUGACGUUGAGCCAUCACAGUGUCCAGACUGACUGUAGCCCCUCCUUGAAGAAAUGGCUGGCUUACAGUCUGGGACAAACACGCACAAGAUAAGCCCGGAGCACCUUAUUAUGCAGAAAGCCAGGAAGCUCUCCGUGACUCCUGGGAUCAUGUCGGAGAGACUCAAGAACGAACCUAAAGAUGCCGCCACAGACCAAAGAAGGCGAGGGAUGAGUAUCUGUAUAAGAACAAUGACUGCACAGGAUGGACCCAUUGGCUAUGGUAAAAACCACCAGUUUAUAACAUCCAUCAAGUAAAACACUUAUUGGUCACCUUUGACUGAUCAUUGGAAACUGACUCAGGAUUCCAAAACUUAGUAAAUAAAAGGAAAGGCUCAAGCACAUGACCAGCCUUCCUUACCAAGUUAUACCCCAGAGGGACAUGAGCUGCUGGAAAGCAUUUGCUCCCAGAUGUGCUCCAGGUAACAGAUAGAGGCUGAAGGGUAGCAUGGCUGCAUCGCCGGUUUGCAACCUCAUCCUGGUAACUCACAUCACCAAGCCAGAGGCACGGCCCCGGUGGUGAGGCUCUGAGGCACCUGGGAAGGAUUCCUGCCCAGUCACCCCACCUGCGGCCCAGGCAGAUGUUUCCAGGAAACCCAGGGCACAUCCUGGGACAGGCUGAAUGGCGUCAUAGGGAUGUGGUCACACCAGCCCCCUCCCCUGCUCAGGACCUGGAAAGGGCUCAUCUCUCUUAGUGUAAAAACCUAUCUUGACCAGGACCUGGAAGGCCUGCCCAUCUGGUGAUGAUACUGUCCCCUUCUGGCUCUGCCCUCCUGUCCCAGUCUCUGUCCUGCUGGCCUCUGGGCAGCUCCUCUCCACACAGUGCGUGCCCCUUGGAGGGCCCCCCUGGAACUCUCUGCCACCCAGAGGGCCAUGUGGCUGACUUCCUCACAUCCUUCAAGUCUGUCUCGGAUUCCGCCGUCACAUCACAAACCACCCAUCCAUCCGCUCGCUGCUUCGUAGGCUGGCAGGUUGCACUGUGUCCAGCAGGGUGGGUUUCCUGACAUGCUGCCUGGUGGCACCUUGGCCUGUGGUCAUCUCAUGGCUUCAACCUGAGAUGGCCUCAGUCACAGGGUGGGUGGGUGGAAGGCUGUCGGCCGGGCCCCAUGGCUUCUCCAGCAGCAUAGCUUAUGCUCUUUCUCUCUGUGGUUUCCAGACUCCAACCACAGGACAAAGAGCCAGGGGUAAUGCACAGCUGUCAAGUCUUCUUUCGUGUCAUAUUUGCUAAUGUCCCAAAGGCUAACAGAUCAACAGAUGCUGUGGAGUCCCUGGCUGCAGAGAUAACAGGCCACGUGGCUGACAUCUCCUCGCCGAGGACUGCGGUUCUAUCCUGCGGAGAGUGAGCACUUUAUUGUACCCGGUGGGAAGAAGUGAUUGAAGGGAGAAGACUGUUAACGCGGGGCCUCUUUAUUAACGGUCACUGGCUGUGUGUUAACAUGUGCUAAGAAGCGCAGCGGGAGCCACACAGACAGAUACUUCACAUCCAGCGGUCGAGGGUUCCAGGCGGCGCAGGAAGCAAGGCUGAG